This is a long non-coding RNA of Camelina sativa (false flax), 670 nucleotides long. RefSeq lists it as uncharacterized. The record is from RefSeq and is a predicted model, not a curated record. Lineage: Eukaryota; Viridiplantae; Streptophyta; Magnoliopsida; Brassicales; Brassicaceae.
CAAUUUCUUGUUUUAUUGAAUUGAUUUUCAAUCGAUUUAUGUCGUACAGAUCUGCUGUUGUGAACUAUUUCUAUAUUCACAACUGAUGCAUUUCAUAAUUGAUUUUCAAUUGAAAUUAUCUGCUGUUGUGAAAUUUUUAGGGGUUUCUCUGUAAAUUUCGUAUAAUUUUUUUGCUCGUUGUUGUUGUGGAUUGAUUGAUGCAUAAAUCUGGUUUCUUUGGUUCGAUUCUUGUAGUAUUAUUUUUGUUUUGACUUUUUGGAUCAUGAACCCUUCAAAUGAUAUCAAAUUUGAUCUUAAAGGUGAGAAGAUGAGAAUCCAAUGUAUGAGAGCACAAGAGCUGAGCUUGGUCUGGUUGUUCUGUAUUUGAACAAAACGGAGGCGAGAGACAAAAUUUAUGGUGCUUGCAGUGGCAGUUUACAAUCACUACAAGAGGAUAUAUCACGAAUCAGCACAGAAACGGUUCGUUUAUGUCCCAAGAGAAGGCAAACAAUGCUCUUCUCAUUCACAUUAGGAGGACGAUCCCACUCACAAACAGAAGGGGAAAGCCUCAGUUCUGUCCAUUUCACCUUUCAAAUUCUGUUUUGCUUGUAAAACAAGUUCUGUUUUUUUUUAAAUGUAAUGCUAAGAAACUUGUUAAGAAACUUACCAUUGGAGAGAUAAAUUUUACAAA